This 411-nucleotide ribosomal RNA is filed under the name uncultured bacterium. RNAcentral's name for it is "bacterial SSU rRNA". It matches the Rfam family "Bacterial small subunit ribosomal RNA", at positions 28 to 441 of the family's 1533-position model. The record is from RNAcentral.
GAUGAACGCUAGCGGCAGGCUUAACACAUGCAAGUCGAGGGGUAUUGGUUUUCGGACCAAGAGACCGGCGCACGGGUGCGUAACGCGUAUGCAAUCUACCUUUUGCAGAGGGAUAGCCCCAGAGAAAUUUGGAUUAAUACCUCAUAGUAUAGUACUUUGGCAUCAAGGAACUAUUAAAGUCACAACGGCAAAGAUGAGCAUGCGUCCCAUUAGCUAGUUGGUAAGGUAACGGCUUACCAAGGCUACGAUGGGUAGGGGUCCUGAGAGGGAGAUCCCCCACACUGGUACUGAGACACGGACCAGACUCCUACGGGAGGCAGCAGUGAGGAAUAUUGGACAAUGGGCGCAAGCCUGAUCCAGCCAUGCCGCGUGCAGGAUGACGGUCCUAUGGAUUGUAAACUGCUUUAUACA